GGAGAGAUGGCUCAGUGAUUAGGAGCACUGGUUUCUCUUCCAGAGGACCUGGGUUCAAUUCCCAGGAUCCA
Molecule: non-coding RNA, 71 nt
Organism: Mus musculus (house mouse)
Lineage: Eukaryota; Metazoa; Chordata; Mammalia; Rodentia; Muridae
Source: Rfam